This 481-nucleotide ribosomal RNA is filed under the name uncultured bacterium. RNAcentral's name for it is "partial 16S ribosomal RNA". It matches the Rfam family "Bacterial small subunit ribosomal RNA", at positions 30 to 506 of the family's 1533-position model. The record is from RNAcentral.
AUUGAACGCUGGCGGCAUGCUUUACACAUGCAAGUCGAACGGUAACAGGCCGCAAGGUGCUGACGAGUGGCGCACGGGUGAGUAAUGCAUCGGAACGUGCCCAGUCGUGGGGGAUAACUACUCGAAAGAGUAGCUAAUACCGCAUACGAUCUAUGGAUGAAAGCGGGGGACCGUAAGGCCUCGCGCGAUUGGAGCGGCCGAUGUCAGAUUAGGUAGUUGGUGGGGUAAAGGCUCACCAAGCCAACGAUCUGUAGCUGGUCUGAGAGGACGACCAGCCACACUGGGACUGAGACACGGCCCAGACUCCUACGGGAGGCAGCAGUGGGGAAUUUUGGACAAUGGGCGCAAGCCUGAUCCAGCAAUGCCGCGUGCAGGAAGAAGGCCUUCGGGUUGUAAACUGCUUUUGUACGGAACGAAACGGCUCUGGUUAAUACCCGGGGCUAAUGACGGUACCGUAAGAAUAAGCACCGGCUAACUACGU